RNAcentral lists this ribosomal RNA (626 nucleotides) under uncultured bacterium. RNAcentral describes it as "bacterial SSU rRNA". It matches the Rfam family "Bacterial small subunit ribosomal RNA", at positions 51 to 674 of the family's 1533-position model. The record is from RNAcentral.
ACACAUGCAGUCGAGCGGUAGAGAGAAGCUUGCUUCUCUUGAGAGCGGCGGACGGGUGAGUAAUGCCUAGGAAUCUGCCUAGUGGUGGGGGAUAACGUUCGGAAACGGACACUAAUACCGCAUACGUCCUACGGGAGAAAGCGGGGGACCUUCGGGCCUCGCGCCAUAGAUGAGCCUAGGUCGGAUUAGCUAGUUGGUGAGGUAAUGGCUCACCAAGGCGACGAUCCGUAACUGGUCUGAGAGGAUGAUCAGUCACACUGGAACUGAGACACGGUCCAGACUCCUACGGGAGGCAGCAGUGGGGAAUAUUGGACAAUGGGCGAAAGCCUGAUCCAGCCAUGCCGCGUGUGUGAAGAAGGUCUUCGGAUUGUAAAGCACUUUAAGUUGGGAGGAAGGGCAUUGACCUAAUACGUUAGUGUUUUGACGUUACCGACAGAAUAAGCACCGGCUAACUUCGUGCCAGCAGCCGCGGUAAUACGAAGGGUGCAAGCGUUAAUCGGAAUUACUGGGCGUAAAGCGCGCGUAGGUGGUUCGUUAAGUUGGAUGUGAAAGCCCCGGGCUCAACCUGCGAACUGCAUCCAAAACUGGCGAGCUAGAGUACGGUAGAGGGUGGUGGAAUUUCCUGU